AUGGACGGCUGCCGCUCCUUCGUGCCUACCCUCGCCGCCCCGGAUCGUUUCCCGCCGGGGCGCUUCUCCCUGCAGCGCGGCGACGACGACUGGUUCCGGUCCCUUGGAAGCCGUCAUGGCCUGGUGCUAAUCUUGAACAGACCCACGAACCAGUUGCUGGUCUGGGACCCCGUCACCGGCGACAAGCACUGGAUUGCCGUUCCCCCGGGAUUCGAGUGCGACACCGACAACCCGAUCGGCGGGGCGGUGCUUCGCUCUGCCUUAGACGACCGCCACUUCCUGGUGGCCUUGGUAAGCACCACCGAGAAACAAGACCAUACAAGAGCCAUCGCCAGCGCUUACUUGUCGGAGACCAAUACAUGGAGUGAUAUAAUCUCAACACCGCUUCCACCGGCAUGCGAAUCCCGCUUCCAAUUGAAAGCAGAAGACUUGCCACCGGUUGAAUGUCCGACCAUGAUUUAUUCGAGCAUACCUGCUGUGCUGGUUGGGGAUUCCCUUUACUGGUGGCUUCGGGAUAGUUCGUACAACAUCCUCCAAUUUGAUUUGGAUAGGGACAGCCUAGCCGUGAUACCUCCACCGGUGGACUUGUAUGACAGUCAUGUCAACUUCUCGGUUAUGCGGGCAGAUGAUGGAGGGCUUGGUUUCCUAUUUGUAUCAAAGUUCAGUGUUCAGUUGUGGAAGACGAAGGUCAUUUGUGACUGUUUUGCUUCGUGGGUGUUGGGAAGAACAAUUGAAACGGACAAGCUAUUUCCGCUGGAUUCAAAGGAGAGAGAGUCUCCAAUGAUAGUAGGAUUUGCUGAGGAGAAUAAUGUGGCUCUCAUGUGGACAGAAGGCAGUCUCUUCAUGUUCCAGCUUGAGUCGUUGCAGCUCAAGAAGCUCGUGGAAACCAGAAUCUCUUUCUAUCACCCAUUCGAAAGUGUCUAUACUGCAGGUAUCUACAUUUCCAUUCUGGUGGCUGAGAUGCAGAAAUGGUCUGUCGAGUAUAGUUCCUUCCAUCUGCAUGCUCGACAUGGAAAACUCAACCUCUAUCUAGCAGCAUACAGUGUUCAGCUCUGA
RNAcentral lists this ribosomal RNA (1056 nucleotides) under Triticum aestivum (bread wheat). RNAcentral's name for it is "partial small subunit ribosomal RNA". The record is from RNAcentral. Lineage: Eukaryota; Viridiplantae; Streptophyta; Magnoliopsida; Poales; Poaceae.